CCUACGGGUGGCUGCAGUCGAGAAUCAUUCACAAUGGGGGAAACCCUGAUGGUGCGACGCCGCGUGGGGGAAUGAAGGUCUUCGGAUUGUAAACCCCUGUCAUGUGGGAGCAAAUUAAAAAGAUCGUACCACAAGAGGCAGAGACGGCUAACUCUGUGCCAGCAGCCGCGGUCAUACAGAGGUGUCAAGCGUUGUUCGGAAUCACUGGGCGUAAGGGGUGCGUAGGCUGUUUCGUAAGUCGUGUGUGAAAGGCGCGGGCUCAACCCGCGGACGGCACAUGAUACUGCGAGACUAGAGUAAUGGAGGGGGAACCGGAAUUCGCGGUGUAGCAGUGAAAUGCGUAGAUAUCGAGAGGAACACUAGUGGCGAAGGCGGGUUCCUGGACGUUAACUGACGCUGAGGCGCGAAGGCCAGGGGAGCGAAAGGGAUUAGAUACCCCAGUAGUC
This 446-nucleotide ribosomal RNA is filed under the name uncultured bacterium. RNAcentral describes it as "partial 16S ribosomal RNA". It matches the Rfam family "Bacterial small subunit ribosomal RNA", at positions 338 to 795 of the family's 1533-position model. The record is from RNAcentral.